Molecule: ribosomal RNA, 503 nt
Filed under: uncultured bacterium
Lineage: Bacteria
Description: partial 16S ribosomal RNA
Rfam family: Bacterial small subunit ribosomal RNA
Source: RNAcentral
AUUGAACGCUGGCGGCAGGCUUAACACAUGCAAGUCGAGCGGGGUGAUGGUGCUUGCACUAUCACUUAGCGGCGGACGGGUGAGUAAUGCUUAGGAAUCUGCCUAUUAGUGGGGGACAACAUCUCGAAAGGGAUGCUAAUACCGCAUACGGCCUACGGGAGAAAGCAGGGGAUCACUUGUGACCUUGCGCUAAUAGAUGAGCCUCAGUCGGAUUAGCUAGUUGGUGGGGUAAAGGCCUACCAAGGCGACGAUCUGGAGCGGGUCUGAGAGGAUGAUCCGCCACACUGGGACUGAGACACGGCCCAGACUCCUACGGGAGGCAGCAGUGGGGAAUAUUGGACAAUGGGGGGAACCCUGAUCCAGCCAUGCCGCGUGUGUGAAGAAGGCCUUAUGGUUGUAAAGCACUUUAAGCGAGGAGGAGGCUCUUUUGGUUAAUACCCAAGAUGAGUGGACGUUACUCGCAGGAUAAGCACCGGCUAACUCUGUGCCAGCCGCCGCCGUAA